UACAGAGGGGGCAAGCGUUAUUCACAUUUAUUAGGCGUAAAGGGUGCGUAGAUGGUUUUUUCGUUUUAUUUCUUGAAAAUUCAUUAUUUUAAAAAUGAAAGAGGGAGAUAAACUCAAAGCUAGAGUAGAGAUAAAAUUAGCAGAAUUGUUGGUGUAAGGAUGAAAUCUAUUGAUUCUAAUAGGAAUGCCAUUUGGCGAAGGCAGCUUUUUGUUUUCUACUGACAUUCAGGCACGAAGGUAUGGGGAUCAAACAGG
RNAcentral lists this ribosomal RNA (255 nucleotides) under uncultured bacterium. RNAcentral describes it as "partial 16S ribosomal RNA". It matches the Rfam family "Bacterial small subunit ribosomal RNA", at positions 524 to 776 of the family's 1533-position model. The record is from RNAcentral.